RNAcentral lists this ribosomal RNA (180 nucleotides) under uncultured bacterium. RNAcentral's name for it is "partial 16S ribosomal RNA". It matches the Rfam family "Bacterial small subunit ribosomal RNA", at positions 1304 to 1500 of the family's 1533-position model. The record is from RNAcentral.
GCUGAAACUCGCCUCUUUGAAGUCGGAAUCGCUAGUAAUCGCAGAUCAGCAUGUUGCGGUGAAUACGUUUCCUGGUCUUGUACACACCGCCCGUCAAACCAUGAGAGUCGCCAACACCCGAAGUCCGCUUUGCGGCCUAAGGUGGGGGAGAUGAUUGGGGUUAAGUCGUAACAAGGUAUC